CAGCAGCCGCGGUAAUACGAAGGGGGCUAGCGUUGCUCGGAAUGACUGGGCGUAAAGGGCGCGUAGGCGGCGAUCAAAGUCAGGCGUGAAAUUCCUGGGCUCAACCUGGGGGCUGCGUUUGAUACUUGAUUGCUAGAGUGGGGAAGAGGGUCGUGGAAUUCCCAGUGUAGAGGUGAAAUUCGUAGAUAUUGGGAAGAACACCAGUGGCGAAGGCGGCUCACUGGACCGACACUGACGCUGAGGCGCGAAAGCGUGGGGAGCAAACAGGAUUAGAUACCCCCGUAGUCCCUGUCUCUUAUAC
RNAcentral lists this ribosomal RNA (301 nucleotides) under uncultured bacterium. RNAcentral's name for it is "partial 16S ribosomal RNA". It matches the Rfam family "Bacterial small subunit ribosomal RNA", at positions 509 to 807 of the family's 1533-position model. The record is from RNAcentral.